UACGUAGGGUGCGAGCGUUAAUCGGAAUUACUGGGCGUAAAGCGUGCGUAGGCGGUUCGCUGUGUCCGAUGUGAAAGCCCCGGGCUUAACCUGGGAAUGGCAUUGGAAACUGGCGGGCUUGAGUGCGGCAGAGGGGGGUGGAAUUCCGCGUGUAGCAGUGAAAUGCGUAGAGAUGCGGAGGAACACCGAUGGCGAAGGCAGCCCCCUGGGUCGACACUGACGCUCAUGCACGAAAGCGUGGGGAGCAAACAGG
Molecule: ribosomal RNA, 253 nt
Filed under: uncultured bacterium
Lineage: Bacteria
Description: partial 16S ribosomal RNA
Rfam family: Bacterial small subunit ribosomal RNA
Source: RNAcentral